GCCUGGCUAGCUCAGUCAGUAGAGCAUGAGACUCUUAAUCUCAGGGUCGUGGGUUCAUGCCCCACAUUGAGCA
Molecule: transfer RNA, 73 nt
Organism: Neotoma lepida (desert woodrat)
Lineage: Eukaryota; Metazoa; Chordata; Mammalia; Rodentia; Cricetidae
Rfam family: tRNA
About the family: Transfer RNA (tRNA) molecules are approximately 80 nucleotides in length.
Source: Rfam